RNAcentral lists this ribosomal RNA (497 nucleotides) under uncultured bacterium. Its description in RNAcentral is "partial 16S ribosomal RNA". It matches the Rfam family "Bacterial small subunit ribosomal RNA", at positions 28 to 507 of the family's 1533-position model. The record is from RNAcentral.
GAUGAAUGCUGGCGGCGUGCCUAAUACAUGCAAGUCGAGCGAACAGACGAGGAGCUUGCUCCUCUAACGUUAGCGGCGGACGGGUGAGUAACACGUGGAUAACCUACCUAUAAGACUGGGAUAACUUCGGGAAACCGGAGCUAAUACCGGAUAAUAUAUUGAACCGCAUGGUUCAAUAGUGAAAGACGGUUUUGCUGUCACUUAUAGAUGGAUCCGCGCCGCAUUAGCUAGUUGGUAAGGUAACAGCUUACCAAGGCAACGAUGCGUAGCCGACCUGAGAGGGUGAUCGGCCACACUGGAACUGAGACACGGUCCAGACUCCUACGGGAGGCAGCAGUAGGGAAUCUUCCGCAAUGGGCGAAAGCCUGACGGAGCAACGCCGCGUGAGUGAUGAAGGUCUUCGGAUCGUAAAACUCUGUUAUUAGGGAAGAACAAAUGUGUAAGUAACUAUGCACGUCUUGACGGUACCUAAUCAGAAAGCCACGGCUAACUACGUG